Molecule: long non-coding RNA, 276 nt
Organism: Larimichthys crocea (large yellow croaker)
Lineage: Eukaryota; Metazoa; Chordata; Actinopteri; Sciaenidae
Exons: 3
Source: RefSeq, a predicted model, not a curated record
GUUGUAAGGAGAGGUGACGAGGAAAGGUUGUAAGGAGAGGUGACGAGGAAAGGGUGUAAGGAGAGGUGAUGAGGAAAGGUUGUAAGGAGAGAUGACGAGGAAAGGUUGUAAGAAGAGGUGACGAGGAAAGGUUGUAAGGAGAGGUGAUGAGGAAAGGUUGUAAGGAGAGAUGACGAGGAAAGGUUGUAACGAAAGGUGACGAGGAAAGGUUGUAAGGAGAGGUGACGAGGAAAGGUUGUAAGGAGAGGUGAUGAGGAAAGGUUGUAAGGAGAGAUG